UCCUACAGCCAUAGCACCCUGAACACACCAAAUCUCAUUUGAUCUCAGAAGCUAAGCAGGGGUGGGCCUAGAGAAGAGAAUCUUGACUGGGCAGAAGAGAGAU
RNAcentral lists this ribosomal RNA (103 nucleotides) under Nomascus leucogenys (northern white-cheeked gibbon). The record is from RNAcentral. Lineage: Eukaryota; Metazoa; Chordata; Mammalia; Primates; Hylobatidae.